RNAcentral lists this long non-coding RNA (483 nucleotides) under Mytilus galloprovincialis (Mediterranean mussel). Lineage: Eukaryota; Metazoa; Mollusca; Bivalvia; Mytilida; Mytilidae. The record is from RNAcentral.
GGCUUUCCUUCAGUGACCAAUUGUCAUCAAGUUUUAACUUGUUGGCCAGUUUGUUGAUGUUGGUUGUUUGUUGGUUUAUAUUGUUGAAUAUUGUUGAAUAAAUGCCAUGACAAAUAAUCAGUCAAAUUUCAAAUUUAAUUGUUUGUUUGUUGUUUAUAUUGUUCUUGCGAAAGAAUGGAACAUAACUCAUCUGCAGUUAUAUAUUCAUUGCGCACAUUGAAUAUGCAAUAAUAAAAUUUAAUGAUCUAAUAAUUAAAUUGAUUUAUUGCAUUAAAAAUACAUUUAGUUGUUAAUAAUUGUGUUUCAAACGUACGUCAGUCCAUUAUUUACGUUUUGCCAUUUACAUAAUUACAACCAUAUAUUUAAACAUACGAAAGAAUAUGCUUUGAAGCGCCUCGUGGACUUUGGUCAUAUAUAAGCACGUGCUCACGCUAAAUUUUCAUUCCACGAGUAUUUUUCAAGAUUGCACAACCCACCCUCCCU